GAUGAAGAACGUAGCAAAAUGCGAUAAGUAAUGUGAAUUGCAGAAUUCAGUGAAUCAUCGAAUCUUUGAACGCACAUUGCGCCCGCCAGUAUUCUGGCGGGCAUGCCUGUUCGAGCGUCAUUUCAACCCUCAAGCCCUCGGGUUUGGUGUUGGGGAUCGGCGAGCUUUUCUGGCAAGCCGGCCCCGAAAUCUAGUGGCGGUCUCGCUGCAGCCUCCAUUGCGUAGUAGUAAAACCCUCGCAACUGGAACGCGGCGCGGCCAAGCCGUUAAACCCCCAACUUCUGAAUGUUGACCUCGGAUCAGGUAGGAAUACCCGCUGAACUUAAGCAUAUCAAUAAGCGGAGGA
Molecule: unclassified non-coding RNA, 346 nt
Filed under: soil metagenome
Description: partial contains 5.8S ribosomal RNA, internal transcribed spacer 2, and large subunit ribosomal RNA
Rfam family: 5.8S ribosomal RNA (bases 1-120)
Source: RNAcentral